ACGAGCGAGAGAGAGCUUGCUUUCUCAAGCGAGUGGCGAACGGGUGAGUAACGCGUGAGGAACCUGCCUCAAAGAGGGGGACAACAGUUGGAAACGACUGCUAAUACCGCAUAAGCCCACAGGUCGGCAUCGACCAGAGGGAAAAGGAGCAAUCCGCUUUGAGAUGGCCUCGCGUCCGAUUAGCUAGUUGGUGAGGUAACGGCCCACCAAGGCAACGAUCGGUAGCCGGACUGAGAGGCUGAACGGCCACAUUGGGACUGAGACACGGCCCAGACUCCUACGGGAGGCAGCAGUGGGGAAUAUUGCACAAUGGGGGAAACCCUGAUGCAGCGACGCCGCGUGGAGGAAGAAGGUCUUCGGAUUGUAAACUCCUGUUGUUGAGGAAGAUAAUGACGGUACUCAACAAGGAAGUGACGGCUAACUACGUGCCAGCAGCCGCGGUAAAACGUAGGUCACAAGCGUUGUCCGGAAUUACUGGGUGUAAAGGGAGCGCAGGCGGGAAGACAAGUUGGAAGUGAAAUCUAUGGGCUCAACCCAUAAA
This 541-nucleotide ribosomal RNA is filed under the name uncultured bacterium. RNAcentral describes it as "bacterial SSU rRNA". It matches the Rfam family "Bacterial small subunit ribosomal RNA", at positions 66 to 620 of the family's 1533-position model. The record is from RNAcentral.